AGAGAGAGACAUGCGCGCAUAUCAAUAAGCGGAGGAAAAGAAACUAACAAGGAUUCCCCUAGUAACGGCGAGUGAAGCGGGAAGAGCUCAAAUUUGAAAUCUUAAAGGGUUUCCCUUUACGAAUUGUAGUUUAAAGAAGUGUUUUCUGUUGAGGUUUUGGUAAAAGUUCUUUGGAAUAGGACAUCAUAGAGGGUGAGAAUCCCGUAUUUGACCAUUACUUUCCAGCUUUGUGAUACACUUUCAAAGAGUCGGAUUGUUUGGGAAUGCAGUCCAAAAUGGGUGGUAAAUUUCAUCUAAAGCUAAAUAUUGGCGAGAGACCGAUAGCGAACAAGUACCGUGAGGGAGAGAUGAAAAGAACUUUGAAAGGAGAGUUAAACAGUACGUGAAAUUGUCAAAAGGGAAGCGUUUGACACCAGUGUUGUUUUUCUGAAAAUCAAUUAAAGAACUGUUUAUGCUAAGUUGUUUAGACUUUAUCAGCUAAUCUGUUUAGUUUUGAGCUUUUCUUUAAUGCACUUUUCAGUUAACAAGUCAACAUCAAUUUCUUUUGCUGUAAAAAAGCUUGAGGAAGGUGGCUUGAGAUUCGUCUUAAGUGUUUAUAGCCUCUUGCCUAUGCAGUCGGAGAGAUUGAGGUCUGCAGCGUAGAUCCUUCGGGGCUAAAUGCAUUUGUGCUAAGUUAUAGCAUUUUAUAGACAACUUGUUGACUAUGAUUUGUCUUGUAGCUUACUCGCUUAUGUUAUUUUACCUACGCUUAGGAUGUUGAGCGCAUGUCUCUCUCU
RNAcentral lists this ribosomal RNA (776 nucleotides) under uncultured Neocallimastigales. Its description in RNAcentral is "partial large subunit ribosomal RNA". It matches the Rfam family "Eukaryotic large subunit ribosomal RNA", at positions 23 to 616 of the family's 3401-position model. The record is from RNAcentral. Lineage: Eukaryota; Fungi; Neocallimastigomycota; Neocallimastigomycetes; Neocallimastigales.